GACGUAGGGCGCGAGCGUUGUCCGGAUUUAUUGGGCGUAAAGAGCUCGUAGGCGGCUUGUUGCGUCGACUGUGAAAACCCGGGGCUUAACCCCUGGCUUGCAGUGGAUACGGACAGACUAGAGGUAGGUAGGGGAGAAUGGAAUUCCCGGUGUAGCGGUGAAAUGCGCAGAUAUCGGGAGGAACACCGGUGGCGAAGGCGGUUCUCUGGGCCUUACCUGACGCUGAGGAGCGAAAGCGUGGGGAGCGAACAGG
This 253-nucleotide ribosomal RNA is filed under the name uncultured bacterium. RNAcentral's name for it is "partial 16S ribosomal RNA". It matches the Rfam family "Bacterial small subunit ribosomal RNA", at positions 524 to 776 of the family's 1533-position model. The record is from RNAcentral.